CCCAGACUCCUACGGGAGGCAGCAGUAGGGAAUUUUCGUCAAUGGGGGAAACCCUGAACGAGCAAUGCCGCGUGAGUGAAGAAGGCCUUCGGGUCGUAAAGCUCUGUUGUAAGAGAAAAACGGUAAUGAUAGGGAAUGAUCAUUAAGUGAUGGUAUCUUACGAGGAAGCCACGGCUAACUACGUGCCAGCAGCCGCGGUAAUACGUAGGUGGCAAGCGUUAUCCGGAAUGAUUGGGCGUAAAGGGUGCGCAGGCGGAACCAUAAGUCUGAAGUAAAAGCCAUCGGCUCAACCGAUGUAAGCUUUGGAAACUGUGGAUCUGGAGUGCAGGAGAGGACAGUGGAAUUCCAUGUGUAGCGGUAAAAUGCGUAGAUAUAUGGAGGAACACCAGUGGCGAAGGCGGCUGUCUGGCCUGUAACUGACGCUGAGGCACGAAAGCGUGGGGAGCAAAUAGGAUUAGAUACCCGAGUAC
RNAcentral lists this ribosomal RNA (470 nucleotides) under uncultured bacterium. Its description in RNAcentral is "partial 16S ribosomal RNA". It matches the Rfam family "Bacterial small subunit ribosomal RNA", at positions 330 to 793 of the family's 1533-position model. The record is from RNAcentral.